UUUUCUCCGCGUUAGGGAUUGAAGUGGAAAUCCUUUUUUAAUGUAACGCAGUGAAAUUUAAAAAGAUUGAAACGAAAAUCCCGGCCGCAG
This 90-nucleotide small RNA is filed under the name Flavobacterium noncentrifugens. RNAcentral describes it as "Flavo-1 RNA". It matches the Rfam family "Flavo-1 RNA". Lineage: Bacteria; Pseudomonadati; Bacteroidota; Flavobacteriia; Flavobacteriales; Flavobacteriaceae. The record is from Rfam by way of RNAcentral.